UAUCAAUAUAGAAUCUACAUGUUAAUGAUUUUUAUGUUGUUCUUGAACUUUAGGAAGCCUCAAGAAACAGUAUUUACAAGACUCAAAUAAACCAAAACAAAUCUCUUCCUAGAGUGUUUCUGCCUCACAAUCUACCAUUUAUGUAUAACAAGAUAACAAGAAAAGUAAUUUCUAUCUCAAGGAAGAAGGCCAUGUCGACACCAAUACAUUUCGAAAUUUCAAAAUACCAACCAAUAAAAUGAUUCAUACACAACAAAAUGUGCAGCAUCCACACUAGAAAAUGAAUUUAUCAAACUCAAGAAAAAGGCAGCAAAAAUUGGCAAUUAAGAAAUCCCUCAAAUCUCCAUUAUGUUCCAUUUUUCAAACACGAUUUCCCCAUUACGCCUCGCAGUUUACAAUCAUCAAAUGGAACCAUUAUGUAACUUGCUUUGAAGAAUUCACGGGAUGCUUAAAACCGAAAUCGUGUGAAGAUGGAGGUAAGAUGUUGGCACAGCAUACAGAUCUUCUAUAUGAUCUUUAGACUCGGGCCGGCAGGCGACUGAGGGAGUUGCUACCAUGCUCUCCAGAAUCCCUUCAAUUCUUCAUCUGUAAAUUAAUCCUCUUUCAUAGUUUCAAUUUCCUAGUUACAUGACAAAUAAAUUAAAAAUAAAUAUAAACCAAUUCGAAAGGAAAUUAAAAAUAAACAAAGAAAGGACCAUAAAAGACAAAAUGAACUAAUAAUUCUGUAAAUUUACUUUCUUACAAGAGUGAAAGUGUUGUUUCAACAUAUAAGUGCUUGCAUAUGAAAUAAGAGAGAAAUAAUUAAUUAGUUGCAUAUAGAUUAAAACUCACCAAAUCAUUUCUUACCAUAGUGCUUGUUUGUUUUUCUUCACAAGGUUGUUCAGGCCAGGAGUGCAGAAGAUUGGGAGCCUGAAUAAGUGAGUGGAUAUAUACGACACAUCCCAUUAAAUGUCAUUCG
RNAcentral lists this long non-coding RNA (958 nucleotides) under Erythranthe guttata (spotted monkey flower). RNAcentral describes it as "long non-coding RNA (EGUT_LNC002081)". The record is from RNAcentral. Lineage: Eukaryota; Viridiplantae; Streptophyta; Magnoliopsida; Lamiales; Phrymaceae.